AUGGAGUCGCAGCAGCAGAGCAGGAAGGAGGCCGCCUGGAAGCGGGAGGAAGGCGGCCAGGGCGGCGUCAGCCUGGAGGAGAUCGGCAAGUUCCGCGCGGAGGCGCAGCAGAACUCGGCGGACGCCAUCCGCGCCGCCCAGGAGCGGUACAACCAGAACCUGCAGCACGGCGGCGGCGGCGCCGCUAGGGGGGCGGUGACCGUCACCCAGGCGCCCGGCGCCACGGUCGUCUCCUACCAGGAGCACAAGGCCCUUCCCGAGGGCGCCCAGCAGGGCCGCGCCCCUGCCGCGGCGCAGGGUCACGGCACCAACGCGCCGGCAGGGGGCACGAUGGCUUCGUCUCGGGGCACCGAGAAGCAGCACGCCACGAAGCAGGAGGAGGGCCGUGGCCAUGGCACGGCCCACAAGGAGCACAAGGGCUCGGCGGCGGUCAGCCGUGCCGCCGAGGACGGCCACGACAAGCAGGGCAGAGAGAGCGCCGCGCGCGGCACCAACGCGCCGGCAGGCGCUACGGUGGCGUCAUCUCGGGGCGCUGAGAAGCAGCACCACACGAAGCAGGAGGAGGGCCGUGGGCAUGGCGCGGGCCACAAGGAGCAGAAGGGCUCGGCGGCGGUCACCCACGCCACCGAGGACAGGGGCAAAGAGGGCGACUCCGCGCGCAGCGCCAAGGACGCGGCCAUGCAAGCGCUCGGAAUCACGGGAGACCAAACUGUGGCCAAGGGCGCCGGAACCAAGGACGCCGGUGCGCAUGGCGCGCAGGUCCGUGGGCAUGACACGGGCCACAAGGAUCAGAAGGGCUCAGACACGGCCGCGCGCAAGCUCGUCUCCACUGGAGACUACGCUGCGCCCAAGGGAGCCCAGGCCAAGGACGCCGGCGCGCAUGGCGCGCAGGUCACCGCGGAAGGCACGGAGGAGGCCACGGCUACCGCCGCCGAGUACGCCAAACAGGCUGCAGCAAAGGCGAAGGAGGUCACGCUCACCACGGGCGAGAUGACGGCGGAGUACGCGAAGCAGGCCGCCGUGAAGGCCAAGGACGUCACGGUGAGCACCGGCGGGACGGCAGCGGAGUACGCUAAGACUGCCGCCGAGAAGGCGAGGGAGGCGGCGCUGGCGGCUGGCAAGACGACGGCCGAGUACACGCAGCAGGCGGCGGUGAAGGGCAAGGACGUCACGGUCUCCACCGGCGGGACGGCCGCGGAGUACGCCAAGACAGCCGCCGAGAAGGCCAAGGACACCGCGCUGGCGGCCGGCAAGACGACGGCAGAUUACACUCAGCAGGCGGCGGUGAAAACCAAGGACGUGACGCUGUCGACCGCCGCGCAAGCGGCGCAGAAGGCCAAGGAGGUGACCGCGGUCACGGCGCAGAAGGUGGCGGAGUACACGAAGGAGAUGGCGGAGCAAGGGAAGAACGCUGCUGCCCAGGCCGAGGAGAAGGCGAAGGAGGCCGCAGCCCGCGCCGCCCACAAGGCGGAGGAGCCGAGCUUCGACACGAGCACGCAGACCAAGCGCUCGGCCGCAGGGGCAGCGGACAAGACCCGCGACAUGACCGAACAAACCAUGAACAAGGCCAAGGACACGACCGGAGCCAUGGCGCAGAAGGCCACUGACACGGCUGCGUACGUCAAGGACUCGGUGAUUGGCGCAGCAGGAGGCACGGCGGACAAGACCCGCGACACCACUGAACAAACAAUGGGCAGGGCCAAGGAGGCUACCGGAGACGCAGGGAAUAGGACCGGGAGCAUGGCCGCCCAGGUGAAGGACGCGACCGGAGCCAUGGCGAAGAAGGCCGGCCACACGGCCGCGUACAUCAAGGACUCGGUGAUGGGCGCGGCCGGAGGCGCCGUGGACAAGACCCGGGACGCCACGUCGCAGGUCGCGCAGAAGACAGGGGAGGCGACGAACAGAGUGGUGGAGACCGGCAAAAGCGCCACCGGCGGCGGCAUGACCGGGACGGCCAAGGCGAAGGGUGAAGGCACAGAAGACACCAAGAUCGUGGAAGACGUGCUGGAGGUGGUGGGCGCGGGCAUGGAGGCGGUGGGCGCGACGGUGUACGGGAUAGCGCAGCACACCAAGGGGAUCGUCGCCGGCGAAGAGGAGCUCAUCCCGGUCGAAGGGGAGGCCGGGAAGGUCGCCGGAGCCGGCGAGGGCAGGAAGAAAUCCGAGUGA
Molecule: ribosomal RNA, 2166 nt
Filed under: Triticum aestivum (bread wheat)
Lineage: Eukaryota; Viridiplantae; Streptophyta; Magnoliopsida; Poales; Poaceae
Description: partial small subunit ribosomal RNA
Source: RNAcentral